RNAcentral lists this ribosomal RNA (762 nucleotides) under uncultured bacterium. Its description in RNAcentral is "bacterial SSU rRNA". It matches the Rfam family "Bacterial small subunit ribosomal RNA", at positions 589 to 1367 of the family's 1533-position model. The record is from RNAcentral.
UGGACGUGAAAGCUCCUGGCCCAACUGGGAGAGGUCGUUCAAUACUGCAUAGCUUGAGGACAGCAGAGGGGGGUGGAAUUUCCGGUGUAGUGGUGAAAUGCGUAGAUAUCGGAAGGAACACCAGUGGCGAAGGCGGCCCCCUGGGCUACUCCUGACGCUGAAGGCGAAAGCUAGGGGAGCAAACGGGAUUAGAAACCCCGGUAGUCCUAGCCGUAAACGAUGGAUACUAGGUGUAGGGGGCGAAAAAACUCUCUGUGCCGAAGCUAACGCGUUAAGUAUCCCGCCUGGGGAGUACGGCCGCAAGGCUAAAACUCAAAGGAAUUGACGGGGACCCGCACAAGCAGCGGAGCGUGUGGUUUAAUUCGAUGCUACGCGAAGAACCUUACCAGGGCUUGACAUGCAGGUAGUAGUGAAGCGAAAGCGGAACGAUCCUUCGGGAAGCCUGCACAGGUGCUGCAUGGCUGUCGUCAGCUCGUGCCGUGAGGUGUUAGGUUAAGUCCUGGUAACGAGCGCAACCCCUGCCGUUAGUUACAAGUGUCUAGCGGGACUGCCCGCAAAACUGGGAGGAAGGUGGGGAUGACGUCAAGUCAGCAUGGCCUUUAUGUCCUGGGCUACACACACGCUACAAUGGCCGGUACAAUGGGUUGCCAAGCCGCGAGGCGGAGCCAAUCCUUAAAGUCGGUCUCAGUUCGGAUUGUAGGCUGCAACUCGCCUGCAUGAAGUGGAGUUGCUAGUAACGCAGGUCAGCACACUGCGGUGAAU